This 417-nucleotide ribosomal RNA is filed under the name alpha proteobacterium SCGC AAA024-A11. RNAcentral's name for it is "bacterial SSU rRNA". It matches the Rfam family "Bacterial small subunit ribosomal RNA", at positions 354 to 787 of the family's 1533-position model. The record is from RNAcentral. Lineage: Bacteria; Pseudomonadati; Pseudomonadota; Alphaproteobacteria.
GUGGGGAAUAUGUGGACAAUGGGCGAAAGCCUGAUCCAGCAAUGCCGCGUGAGUGAUGAAGGCCUUAGGGUUGUAAAGCUCUUUUACCAGGGAUGAUAAUGACAGUACCUGGAGAAUAAGCUCCGGCUAACUCCGUGCCAGCAGCCGCGGUAAUACGGAGGGAGCUAGCGUUGUUCGGAAUUACUGGGCGUAAAGAGUACGUAGGCGGUGAUUCAAGUCAGAGGUGAAAGCCUGGAGCUCAACUCCAGAACUGCCUUUGAAACUAGAUCGCUAGAAUUGUGGAGAGGUUAGUGGAAUUCCGAGUGUAGAGGUGAAAUUCGUAGAUAUUCGGAAGAACACCAGUGGCGAAGGCGACUAACUGGACACAUAUUGACGCUGAGGUACGAAAGCGUGGGGAGCAAACAGGAUUAGAUACCC